RNAcentral lists this ribosomal RNA (254 nucleotides) under uncultured bacterium. RNAcentral describes it as "partial 16S ribosomal RNA". It matches the Rfam family "Bacterial small subunit ribosomal RNA", at positions 524 to 777 of the family's 1533-position model. The record is from RNAcentral.
UACGAGGGGGGCAAAUGUUGUUCGGAAUCACUGGGCGUAAAGGGAGCGUAGGCGGGUUUCUAAGUCAGGUGUUUAAUCCCGGGGCCCAACCCCGGACAGGCACUUGAAACUGGGAAUCUUGAAUAGUGGAGAGGUCAGUGGAAUUGGGGGUGUAGCGGUGGAAUGCGUAGAGAUCCCCAAGAACACCAGUUGCGAAGGCGGCGACCUGGACAAGUACUGACACUCAACUACGAAAGCGUGGGGAGCAAACAGGG